GGCAGCUGUGGGCGGUGCGAAGCAGCCGGGAGGCGUUACGGAAUGCGGGUACGCCGAGGAUUCUGCUGGUCCUGCGCUGCAGACAGCUUGCAGUAAUACUGGUUUUGGAGCCAUUGUGAGGGGAAUGAUGACUGUGAACUAAGGGAAAAUGCUGCAGUUACAAUUCAGAAGUCUUGAUCCAGGAUGCUUCAAAAUAAUCUUACAAAAUAAUAUCUCGCUGUGGGUGCAGAAGUAAGGAACUGAUACCUUGCAACUGUCAAGCUGUUACUUCAUUCUCAUUUUUUUUCGAGUCUUGCUUUUGAGGAGUGAUUUUUGAGAUCUCUGCGGUCUUGGGCGCCACUUUGGUCUGUGACCCGCUGAUGUGCUUGGGAUGUUAUUUUCAGACGUCUUUCAGUUGCAUUUUAACCUUGGAAUUUACAGUGCUCCAUAAUUUAAUGUAUCCUAUGUUGACUGGAUUGAUAGAGACUGUAAAAUAGAUGUGACCUGGAAAAUGAGUCAUUUCUGGCAUGAGCACAAAGGCUGAGUUACUGGGAUCAUUCACAGUGACAUAGGUUGAACUUUAGAACUUCAGAAACCGUCUUGGAAGAGGUUAAAUGAUGCCAUGAGAAAUACUGGCCAGCAUACAGCCUUUCUAAAAGCUCUGCUUUCUUUAGCCAUGAACUCAUUUGCUUUGUAGCUUUCUGUUCACCUUUAGUGUCUGAUUUCGUAGUCAGUAAAGUUCAACAGCAGAACUCAGACCUCAUCCUUUGUGCCACUCAUACUUCAAAAGGACAUGAAAUAGCUUUUACAUCUCCACCUCCCUACUAAAAUCUCUCCUACCUUUUGGUUUCUUGCAUUAGAAGGGAAGGAAUGUACCUGAAACGGUCAGUUUUUUCUUCUUUUCGUAUUGUUUGAUGCAUGAUGAGCUUGGCUAUCUGAUCUCAUUGUGUUACUGAAUAUGGCUUCAUUAGCCACAAAAAGUGCUAUCUACAAGGAAGAAAAUAUGCCCUCUGCUGAAUUCAUCUGUGGCUAGAAUUUAAAAAGCUGCUGUCAGAGUACCACGAUGGAACUAUUGUUUGCAAAUAAAGCAAAUUAAAAUAAACAUCUUUUAUCAUAAGAAA
Molecule: long non-coding RNA, 1100 nt
Organism: Gallus gallus (chicken)
Lineage: Eukaryota; Metazoa; Chordata; Aves; Galliformes; Phasianidae
Exons: 6
Source: RefSeq, a predicted model, not a curated record